CAAAGAUACAUUGACAUGGGACAUUAGGUAUAAGAUUGCACUAGGAACAGCUGAGGGUUUACUCUAUCUUCAUGAGGGUUGUCAGAGAAGAAUAAUACAUAGAGAUAUCAAGGCUGCUAACAUUUUGCUUACAGAGGACUUUGAGCCUCAGAUUUGUGAUUUUGGGCUUGCAAAAUGGCUACCCGAGCAUUGGACUCACCACAUUGUAUCCAAAUUCGAAGGCACAUUUGGCUAUCUUGCUCCCGAGUACUUAAUGCACGGAAUAGUGGAUGAAAAAACUGAUGUUUUUGCCUUUGGUGUGCUGCUGUUGGAAUUAGCCACAGGACGGCGAGCACUGGAUUACUCGCAACAAAGCCUUGUCUUGUGGGCAAAACCCUUGCUCAAGAAGAGUGAGAUCAGUGAGCUAGUUGAUCCUGCUCUUGCCAAUGAUUAUAAUGCUCGACAGAUGAAUCUCAUGCUAUUGGCCGCUUCUUUAUGCAUACAACAGUGUUCAUUACGGAGGCCUCAAAUGACUCAGGUUGUGCAGAUUCUUAAUGGUAAUCUCAGCUGCUUGAAAUGCACGAAAAAAUGGCGAGUGGCAUUCUUUAGAAAAGUUUUCCGCGAUGAGCUCUUCAAAACAGAAGAGUAUAAAUCACCCAACAAUUAGAUAAUCUCAGUUGGGCUGACAAGAUGAUUUGGGUUUUAAUUAAGAGCAAUGGUUUUCCGUGUGUUUCCCUUAUCCAAGAAACAAACUGUAGGUUGCGCCAUUGAAGUUGGCAGUGGUACCAAAAGCAUCCUAAGCUGGGAACUGAAAUGCAAGGUUUCUUUAAAGAUUAUAACAGAAGAAAGAGAGGAAAAGGAGUUCGUAGACAAAAGGAAGAAACGACAGUGCGUUUUCAACUUGUGUACAUAAAAAAAAAAGAUGCAAAGAAUCAAUAGGAAUACCAAAGUAAAGAAAGGAGGAGUAUUCCUAGUUAUGUAGAUUGUACAGCAUAGAAUCCUACUAAACGCCUUGAGAACGUUGGAUCUUCAAUAAACUCAAGUACGUAAAGGAACCGUAGACUCCAAAAGCAAAAGAAAGGUAGUUUUGCUUUCCAAUUUCCAGCAUGCUUGUGUUCCUUUUCAGGAGACACACCAGCUAAAGCUUGAAAUUUGCAUUAUUUAUAAAUGUA
Molecule: unclassified non-coding RNA, 1151 nt
Filed under: Hevea brasiliensis (rubber tree)
Lineage: Eukaryota; Viridiplantae; Streptophyta; Magnoliopsida; Malpighiales; Euphorbiaceae
Source: RNAcentral